RNAcentral lists this ribosomal RNA (131 nucleotides) under Nannospalax galili (Upper Galilee mountains blind mole rat). The record is from RNAcentral. Lineage: Eukaryota; Metazoa; Chordata; Mammalia; Rodentia; Spalacidae.
UUGUACAGCCAUACCACCCUGAAUAUGCCCGAUCUCAUCUGAUCUCAGAAGCUAAACAGGGUUGGGCCUGGUUAGUACUUGGAUGGGAAACAAAAUAAGUAAAAUUAGAAUUUGGGUCUUUAAUGUAAAAC